RNAcentral lists this transfer RNA (82 nucleotides) under Chloroflexota bacterium. RNAcentral describes it as "tRNA-Leu". It matches the Rfam family "tRNA". From Rfam's summary of the family: Transfer RNA (tRNA) molecules are approximately 80 nucleotides in length. RNAcentral also lists the same sequence under 1 other name. Lineage: Bacteria; Bacillati; Chloroflexota. The record is from RNAcentral.
GGGGGAGUGGCGGAACUGGCAGACGCGCAUGACUUAGGAUCAUGUCUCUUUCGAGGUGAGGGUUCGAGUCCCUCCUUCCCCA